This 374-nucleotide ribosomal RNA is filed under the name uncultured Bacteroidota bacterium. RNAcentral describes it as "bacterial SSU rRNA". It matches the Rfam family "Bacterial small subunit ribosomal RNA", at positions 22 to 395 of the family's 1533-position model. The record is from RNAcentral. Lineage: Bacteria; Pseudomonadati; Bacteroidota.
GCUCAGGAUGAACGCUAGCUACAGGCUUAACACAUGCAAGUCGAGGGGUAGCAGGGUAGCAAUACCGCUGACGACCGGCGCACGGGUGAGUAACACGUACCCAACCUUCCCAUAACUCAGGGAUAGCCUUUCGAAAGAAAGAUUAAUACCUGAUGGUACCUUUUCUGGGCAUCCAGUUUAGGUUAAAGAUUUAUCGGUUAUGGAUGGGGAUGCGUUCCAUUAGAUUGUUGGUGAGGUAACGGCUCACCAAGUCUUCGAUGGAUAGGGGCUCUGAGAGGAAGGUCCCCCACAUUGGUACUGAGACACGGACCGAACUCCUACGGGAGGCAGCAGUGAGGAAUAUUGGUCAAUGGGCGAGAGCCUGAACCAGCCAA